RNA transcript from Dioscorea cayenensis subsp. rotundata (Guinea yam), 3809 nucleotides. It is a transcript of the gene named protein STABILIZED1, with no coding region annotated. The transcript is spliced from 5 exons. The record is from RefSeq and is a predicted model, not a curated record. NCBI's taxonomy places the organism in Eukaryota, Viridiplantae, Streptophyta, Magnoliopsida, Dioscoreales, Dioscoreaceae.
UCUCAUACACAGCCCAAAAUCCCAAUCCCUUCGUUGUCUUGUCCCAAGCAGCAAUAGCGGCAGCCAUGGUGUUCCUUCGAAACCUCGACGGCCGAACCCUAUACCUAGACCUCUCCUUCUCCGCCUCCUCUCCCAUCUCUUUCGAUUCCCUUUCCCUCGCCAUCGAAACCCUCACCGGCGUUCCCUCCCACCUCCAUCGCCUCUUCCUCUCCUCCCGUCGCCUCCUCCCCUCGUCCUCUUUUCCUCUUCUCCUCCACCCUUCCACCACCCUUACUCUCCAUCUUCCCUUCCUCGCCGGCACCCAGCCCCCGCUCCCCCUGCCCGCCCUCCCCGCCACGAUUUUUCUCAACUCCAAGCCCCCUCCUAACUACGUCGCUGGCCUCGGCCGUGGUGCCACCGGAUUCACCACCCGCUCUGAUAUUGGUCCUGCCCGCGCUGCCCCUGACCUCCCUGACCGCUCUGCCGCAGCGGCCGCCGCCCCUGCCGCUGGCCGUGGCCGCGGCAAACCCCCUGGCGCUGAUGGAGAUGACGAAGAGGACGAGGCUGAUGACAAGGGUUACGAUGAGAACCAGAAGUUCGAUGAGUUCGAGGGAAACGACGUCGGCCUCUUCGCCUCCGCCGAGUACGACGAGGAUGAUCGUGAGGCUGAUGCUGUUUGGGAGAGCAUCGAUAAGCGCAUGGACUCGCGCCGUAAGGACCGGAGGGAGGCGCGGCUCAAGCAGGAGAUUGAGAAAUAUCGUGCUUCUAACCCUAAGAUCACCGAGCAGUUCGCGGAUCUGAAGCGGAAGCUCGUAGAUCUCACUCCCGAGCAGUGGGAUAGCAUUCCGGAGAUUGGGGACUACUCGCUUCGGAACAAGAAGAAGAGGUUCGAGAGCUUCGUUCCUGUUCCUGAUACGCUUCUUGAGAAAGCUCGGCAGGAGCAGGAGCACGUCACUGCUCUUGACCCCAAGAGCCGUGCCGCCAGCGGUACCGAGACCCCUUGGUCGCAGACUCCGGUCACUGAUCUCACUGCCGUCGGAGAAGGGAGAGGUACUGUGCUUUCUUUGAAACUUGAUAGGUUAUCCGAUUCCGUAUCCGGGCUUACCGUAGUUGAUCCCAAGGGCUAUCUCACUGAUCUUAAGAGUAUGAAGAUUACUAGUGAUGCUGAGAUUUCGGAUAUCAAGAAGGCGCGGUUGUUGCUCAAAUCGGUGACACAGACUAACCCUAAACAUCCUCCGGGAUGGAUUGCCGCCGCGAGGCUGGAGGAGGUUGCCGGGAAGAUUCAGGCUGCGCGGCAGUUGAUUCAGAAAGGUUGUGAAGAGUGUCCCAAGAAUGAGGAUGUGUGGCUGGAGGCUUGUCGGUUGGCGAGCCCUGAUGAGGCUAAGGCAGUGAUUGCGAGGGGUGUGAAGGCUAUUCCCAACUCAGUGAAGCUCUGGUUGCAAGCUGCGAAGUUGGAGCAUAGUGAAGUGAAUCGGAGCCGGGUGUUGAGGAAGGGACUUGAGCACAUUCCGGAUUCUGUGAGGCUGUGGAAGGCACUGGUGGAGCUUGCAAAUGAGGAGGAUGCACGGCUGCUGUUGCAGCGGGCCGUUGAGUGUUGUCCACUUCAUGUUGAGCUUUGGCUUGCAUUGGCGAGGCUUGAGACCUAUGAGCAGGCUAAGAAGGUCCUUAACAAGGCAAGGGAGAAGCUUCCCAAGGAACCCUCGAUUUGGAUUACGGCUGCAAAGCUUGAAGAGGCUAAUGGAAAUACUGCAUCAGUUGGGAAGGUUAUUGAGAGGGGUAUAAGAUCCUUGCAGAGAGAAGGGGUGGAGAUUGAUAGAGAGCUUUGGAUGAAGGAAGCAGAGGCUGCUGAAAGAGCUGGUUCGAUUGCAACUUGUCAAGCUAUUAUUAAGAACACUAUAGGCAUUGCGGUUGAAGAGGAAGAUAGGAAGAGAACCUGGGUUGCUGAUGCAGAAGAAUGCAAGAAACGCGGUUCUAUUGAGACGGCUCGAGCAAUCUAUGCUCAUGCAUUAACUGUGUUCCUGACUAAGAAGAGCAUCUGGCUUAAGGCUGCACAGCUUGAGAAAAGCCAUGGGACAAGGGAGUCUCUUGAUGCCCUUCUUCGGAAAGCAGUUACUUACAGGCCUCAGGCUGAGGUGCUCUGGCUCAUGGGUGCUAAAGAGAAGUGGCUAGCUGGAGAUGUUCCUGCAGCACGAGCAAUUCUUCAAGAAGCUUAUGCUGCGAUUCCUAACUCAGAGGAGAUAUGGUUGGCUGCUUUUAAGCUGGAGUUUGAGAAUCAUGAGCCAGAGAGAGCGAGAAUGCUUCUGGCUAAAGCUAGGGAGAGAGGAGGAACUGAGAGGGUGUGGAUGAAGUCUGCCAUAGUUGAGAGGGAAUUGGGAAACACCUCAGAGGAGAGACGACUUCUGGAGGAAGGAUUGAAGCUUUUCCCUUCAUUUUUCAAGUUGUGGUUGAUGCUUGGGCAAAUGGAGGACAGAAUUGGCCAUGGAGAGCAGGCGAAGGAAGCUUAUGAGUCAGGUCUUUCCCACUGUCCAAACUGCACCCAUCUCUGGCUUUCACUUGCUAACCUUGAGGAGAGGAUGAACGGGCUGAGUAAAGCUCGUGCAGUGCUAACUAUGGCUAGAAAGAAGAAUCCCCAGAAUCCAGAACUUUGGCUUGCUGCUGUUCGUGCUGAAUCUAGGCAUGGAAACAAAAAGGAAGCAGACACAUUGAUGGCGAAAGCAUUACAGGAAUGCCCCUCUAGUGGGAUACUUUGGGCAGCAUCUAUUGAGAUGGUACCACGUCCUCAACGCAGGCAAAAGAGUUCAGAUGCUCUUAAGAGGAGUGAUCAUGAUCCACAUGUUAUUGCCGCUGUGGCAAAAUUAUUCUGGCAUGACAGGAAGGUGGACAAAGCGAGGAACUGGUUCAACAGAGCUGUUACACUUGCCCCAGACAUUGGUGACUUCUGGGCUUGGUAUUACAAAUUUGAACUUCAGCAUGGCAGUGAGGAUCACCAAAAAGAUGUCUUGAAAAGAUGCAUCACUGCAGAACCAAAACAUGGUGAGAAAUGGCAAGCAAUCUCCAAGGCUGUUGAGAAUUCCCAUCUCCCAGUUGAGGCCAUACUUAAAAAAGCAGUGGUUGCUCUUGGUAAAGAAGAGAGUUCUUCUAUUGUUGAUGGCGUCAGAGCCUAGUCUUCUGUUCAUAGGAAUAGUUGAUAGUUCAUAACAACUGAUUUAUUUACAAGGUGUCAUUGGGGAAACUCGUUUGGGUAAAGUCAUAUGCUUUCUUCUGACAAUCUUUCCCUUGAAGAUGAUUGAAGAGCGGAGUCACCCGGUAAAUCUAAACAAGCAGAUAAGAAACAUAACUCUGGGCUACAUUCUUCUGAUUCUAGUGAUUGGAAGCUGAGUUUGUUUUGACUUGGAACAAUUGAUUUCUUGCUAGCAUUUCAGCUUGGUUGAUCUUGUCUGUUAUUUCUAUUAUUAUCAUCAGAUUGAAAGAAAAUACAAGGGAAUAUAAGAUAUGAUAUUUUAAUGAAGCUUAGAAUUGGGAUGAUAGAAGUGAUUAGUCUGAAUUAGAAGUCCUGACUUCACGGUCUCUUGUGGGUUUUGUACUAAAAGUUUAGCUCUUGGUUUUUUAUACGUCAUUUAUUAGCUUUGGUAAGACUUUUGGGUGCUGUACCACACGGCAUAGACUUUUUUUUUGAGUUUUUGGGCAGAAAAUAGAUGGAAAUUUGCUUUUUAUAUAGUUGUAUAAAAAAACAAAUUUGUGUGUUUUUGUUUUUUUAGGAAUGUAAAUAAGUCAAGUGCCAAGGUCAGGCACAUGCGUGGAAUGUAACUACAAGCUAAUAUUUAUGCUCA